Molecule: ribosomal RNA, 254 nt
Filed under: uncultured bacterium
Lineage: Bacteria
Description: partial 16S ribosomal RNA
Rfam family: Bacterial small subunit ribosomal RNA
Source: RNAcentral
UACGUAGGGGGCAAGCGUUGUCCGGAUUUAUUGGGCGUAAAGAGCGUGUAGGCGGCCAGGUAGGUCAGCUGUGAAAACUCGAGGCUCAACCUCGAGACGUCGAUUGAAACCACCUGGCUAGAGUCCGGAAGAGGAGAGUGGAAUUCCUGGUGUAGCGGUGAAAUGCGCAGAUAUCAGGAAGAACACCCGUGGCGAAGGCGGCUCUCUGGGACGGUACUGACGCUGAGACGCGAAAGCGUGGGGGAGCGAACAGG